This is a long non-coding RNA of Peromyscus californicus insignis, 770 nucleotides long. RefSeq lists it as uncharacterized. NCBI's taxonomy places the organism in Eukaryota, Metazoa, Chordata, Mammalia, Rodentia, Cricetidae. The record is from RefSeq and is a predicted model, not a curated record. The transcript is spliced from 4 exons.
CUGGGCUUUAGGAUGUGGCUUUAGCUGGGGCUGGGGAACAAGAUGGUGAGAAGCGAUGGAGGAGGAAACUAAAAUGCCUAGGUUCCCGAGGGGCUCAGUCUGAGGGCGGGAAGACGCAUUCUCGGUUGAUAGGGGGCCAGGAUUCUAAGUGCUCUGGGGAGGGACAGAACCCGGGUUGAGUGGGGUAGUGAUGCCCCACUGGGUCCAGGGGGUGCAGUGAGGAUGCCUGGGUCCCAGUUUGUUCUUUCGCUUCGGAGCAGGACGUCGGGAUUGGGUAUCAGAGGAUCUCACUGUGCAGCCCUGACUGGCCUGGAACUCACUUAUGUAGACCAGAUCGACCUCAACUCAGAGAUGCACCUGCCUGUGCUCCUGAGUGCUGGGAUUAAAGGAAGGUCUUGGCCCAGACUCGGAAAUGCAGCUGCAGACUCCAGCUCUCUUGGCGGUGCAGUGGCCCAAACUCACAACGCAACCUGAAACACUUGGCUUCAGGGCAUUUCUGGAGAAAAAGAAGUCACCUCUCACCUUGGUGAACUCAGCACUGAAGCCCCCUUGACAGUAACCCUGCCCUGCUGCGCUGCUGAAAUCUGUGAGGGAAGAAGACAGUGAGGUGAGCUGUGCACUGAUGGGCUGACAGGGAAGAGAAGCAGGGGCUGAAAAGGAGACCAGAGUCUCCUGAGCAGCCUUGAAAAUGUAUAUUUUGUUGCUUGGUGGCCAUGAAGAAAAAGCCCUGAGCACCUGGGAUCCUCACAUGGAAAUAGUAGGUCAUGCCA